RNAcentral lists this ribosomal RNA (583 nucleotides) under uncultured bacterium. Its description in RNAcentral is "partial 16S ribosomal RNA". It matches the Rfam family "Bacterial small subunit ribosomal RNA", at positions 355 to 935 of the family's 1533-position model. The record is from RNAcentral.
UGGGGAAUUUUGGACAAUGGGCGCAAGCCUGAUCCAGCCAUGCCGCGUGCGGGAAGAAGGCCUUCGGGUUGUAAACCGCUUUUGUCAGGGAAGAAAUCUUCUGAGUUAAUACCUCGGGAGGAUGACGGUACCUGAAGAAUAAGCACCGGCUAACUACGUGCCAGCAGCCGCGGUAAUACGUAGGGUGCAAGCGUUAAUCGGAAUUACUGGGCGUAAAGCGUGCGCAGGCGGUUUUGUAAGACAGAGGUGAAAUCCCCGGGCUCAACCUGGGAACUGCCUUUGUGACUGCAAGGCUUGAGUGCGGCAGAGGGGGAUGGAAUUCCGCGUGUAGCAGUGAAAUGCGUAGAUAUGCGGAGGAACACCGAUGGCGAAGGCAAUCCCCUGGGCCUGCACUGACGCUCAUGCACGAAAGCGUGGGGAGCAAACAGGAUUAGAUACCCCUGGUAGUCCACGCCCUAAACGAUGUCAACUGGUUGUUGGGAAGGUUCCUUCUCAGUAACGUAGCUAACGCGUGAAGUUGACCGCCUGGGGAGUACGGCCGCAAGGUUGAAACUCAAAUGAAUUGACGGGGUCAUAGCUGUUU